GCUCUCAGUCCUCUUCCCGUGCGCCCGGAGGCGGUGGGUCAGCAGCGCUGUGCUAGCAGGAAGGUCUGUGAAGUUUGCAAUAAAGCCAUUAUGAAGUCAAGAAUGGAGGUUCCAUUUUUAAAGAACUCAGAGGGGGUAGAUCUUGAUUGACAUCUCAUCUGGGGUCACCUGGUCUUCAACUGAGAGAUCUUUUGGUUCGCCACGGAUGCCCCUUGCAGUUAUGGAAGUUCACUCUUUGAGAGAGAGAUAAAUAAACAUUAAAAUGUAAAGAAAAAAAAAAUCAGCAAUGGAAGGAAAAAGGAACAAAAAGCAAUCCAUUGGCGUCAAGCUUGACUGGACCACUCCACUGCUCUGCUGCCGUUAGUGAACCUGACCCUGCAGCAGGAGUCACAGACUCACCACUCACCUCAAGUCCUCACUCCCUGGACCCUCAAUCUACACAUCACUUUGUCUUUUAUUUCCCUGAGAAAUACAGGCCAUCAGUUUGCAGAUCCCUCCUUUCCCCUUACCCUGCAAAUCUCCAUCUAUUUGGAAAAGUGUGCCUCCUACAUUCCAAAGCUAACCCCUCCUCCUCUGCCACUAAUAUCAGCCCUACCUGCCUUCUUCUGUAACUUGCUCCAUUAAUUCCCUCCCCUCUCCCCCAGGUCUCCCUGCCUAUGAACAUAUUCAAGGACAUCAUAUCUUAAAAACAAACAAAUAUCAGGCACAAUGGCUCACACCUGUAAUCCCAGCACUUUGAGAGGUCAAGGCAGGAGAAUCACUUGAAUCCAGGGGUUCAAGACCAGCCUGGGAAACAUAGGGAGACCCUAUCUCUACAAAAAAUAUUUUUUAAAAAAAUUAGCCAGGUGUGGUGGUGUGCACCUGUAGUCCCAACUACUCAGAAGGCUGGGGUGGGAGAAAUAUUUCAGCCCAGGACGUCACUGUGCACAAUUGCUUUACUUUUUUUUCCCUUGGUAUAGACUUGUUGAAGAGUAAGCCUUCAUGUACUGUUUCCUCACUUUACAUUCACUCUCAACUGGAGACAAUAUAGAGUCUUCGCAGAUGCAGCUUUCUCCAGACCAACAAUGUGGUUAGACAUCUGGUUUUUCAUUGUUGUUGUUUGAUUUCUCUGACUAGCUUCCCUGACCAGAGGUCGUUUUGAGUUUCCUUCUCUGGAAUUUGACCACUGAGCAGAGACACAUAGGAGAGAAGACGUGAAUGCUGAGUCAUCAAUCAGCAUCACUGGGAAGAAAAAGCCUCUCAGUUUCUUCUGCUGGGACUCCCAGAGCUGGAGUAUUUUCUGCUCUUCCUAAGGCCUGCACUUCUCCUUGCUGCUGCUGUGUGAAGAAGGAUGUGUUUUCUUCCUCUUCCUCCGUGAUUGUAAGUUUCCUGAGGCCUCCUCAGCAAUGCUGAACUGUGAGUCAAUUAAAUCUCUUUCCUUUACAAAUUAACCAGUCUUGGGUAUGUCUUUAUUAGCAGCAUAAGAACAGACUAAUACAGAUACCCAAAGUCAUUGGUAUUAGGACAAAGGAGCAGAAAUUCAUAAAGGAAAGACAGAGACACAGAGAGAUGGCUGACUUUUUUCUUAAUGCCAGGUUUUAGAAAUGAAAGUAUUUAAGGCUUUGAUAAUAUAUAUUAUCAAAUUAUAUUUCAAAGUGUGGUAAUAAUCUACAGUCCUUCCCAAAAGUCCUGAAAAUGUUUAUUUCAUUUCAUUAGAUAUGAUACAUUUAAAAGUCCUUAAACCUUGAUACACAAGAAUAUAUACAAAUAAUUUUGCACUUUCUUCAACAUUUUCUUGUAUGUGUGAUAAAUACAUUUCCUAUUCUGUGUAUUAUCAUUAUGGUUUUUAUACUUUUCAUGUUUUAAUAUUUUAAAUUAUUUUAUAACAAACGUAUUAACCUUUAAAAAGAAGACAAAUGUAGACUGUCUUUAAUUACAUUCUGCAUUAGAAACCAUAAAUAUUUUAGCAUUCAAAUUCAUGCAGUCGAGAAGAGUCUUAAAAAAUUCUGUAGGUGUUCAAAUGAAAAUAUAAAGAGAUUGGAGAAAAAUUGAUCUCAAGCAAGAGAGAGAAUAAAAAUCACUCGUAAGAAGUAUAGGUGUUCUCAUGGCUAAAUUUGGCAGUGGUGGUAAAAAUGGGAGGUGUAGAUAAGAAGAUUUCAAAUAGAAGAAAUAAUCAAGAAUAUAUCCUUAAAACGCUGAGUUGAAACAUAAAACUGAAAUACCAUUAUAUAGGUGAUUCUAUUAUGCAACCAGAGUUGAGAACCACAGAUCUCAUUGAUUUAUGCAGUCCUUUCCAUCAAGAACCCUCUCUGACUUUAAAUUCAAUGUAUCAGUACAUUGAUAUUUUAUCACAUCCACUUCCUUUCUGUCCGUAGUCACCUUGGAUGGACAGUUUACACAAUAAUUUGUAGAAAUAAUAAUAAUAAAAUAAUGUGGAGAAGAGUUUCCACAAUAAUUUUUGGAAUUUAAUGAUUUUGACAUUACACAUAGUCUUAAUGGUUUGAUAGAAACAAAUGUGUGACUUGAUAAAAGAUCAGCUGAUCUCAUGAAUUCUUAAACACAGCUCUUUAAGGAAUUUUUCCUUUUAUAAGGAAUCAUCAUCUUAGAAAAACAUUUAAGCUUUUAAUAUCAUUGGACUUGCUAUUAUUUUUAGUUUAUGAAUUUUUUUAAAAAAAUUAGAAAUGAAUUAAAAUUAAUGGCAGAAAUACCUUCAAAUACUUUCACACUGACUAAUCUGAAUGGGGUUAGGGACAGAUGACAGCAACUCAAAAUGACACAGAGGAAGAAACUUCAGACUUCCUGGGGAUUUUCUGGUAAACUCUGACUAAAAACUAACUCCUCUGAUUGUGCAGCAAUGUUCCCUGCUAACAUAGCCUUCCUUUUGGACUACCAGCUUUUUUUUUUUUUUUUUUUUUUGAAACAGAAUCUCACCUUGUCACCCAGGCUGGAGUGCAAUGGCAUAAUCUCAGCUCACUGCAACCUCUGUCUCCCAGGCUCAAAUGAUUCUCCUGCCUCAGCCUCCUGAGUAGCUGGGAUUACAGGCGCCCAUGGACUACCAGCUUUUUAAGUAGACUUUUUAGCCAAAGGCCAAGGGAAACUACCCUCUUCCUACUGGGGUUCAAAUUGAUUAAAAUGGUUUGCUUUGACUUUUGUUGAAGUCUCUUUAUUUUCUUUUUAAGAUUAUGUUAAAUUAUAAUCCACAUUGGCUUUCUUUUUACAGGUAAACUUUUUCUCUUCUAGAUUUCUAGACGGCCUUCCCCCACUUCGCUUCUCUCUCUGCCAUUUUCCUCCCCUCUCCCGCCUCCCCAAGUUAGAAGAGGCUGACAAAAAGAGGCUCAUCAAAGUUAAAUGUUGCCAACAUAAAUUGGUCCCUCUUCUCUUCCUUGAUGUGACUGGUCUCUCAACCUAUUGAUGGCAUCCAGUUCCAACUUUCCUCUUCUCAUUUGGGACAUUGGGAGGAGAGUAGUCUCUAUUUUUAAUAACAAAGUAG
Molecule: long non-coding RNA, 3469 nt
Filed under: Homo sapiens (human)
Lineage: Eukaryota; Metazoa; Chordata; Mammalia; Primates; Hominidae
Description: HSALNT0042748
Source: RNAcentral